RNAcentral lists this ribosomal RNA (343 nucleotides) under Starmerella sp. RNAcentral's name for it is "partial 28S ribosomal RNA". It matches the Rfam family "Eukaryotic large subunit ribosomal RNA", at positions 101 to 461 of the family's 3401-position model. Lineage: Eukaryota; Fungi; Ascomycota; Dipodascomycetes; Dipodascales; Trichomonascaceae. The record is from RNAcentral.
GGCAAAGCUCAGAUUUGAAAGCCGCAAGGCAUUGUAUUCUGAAGCCGUUGUCCUGGGAAACCGGUGUUUAAGUCUCCUGGAAAGGAGCGCCAUAGAGGGUGAUAGCCCCGUAUGACACUGACCCCAUUGUAGGACUUCGGCGUGGAGUCGAGUUGUUUGGGAAUGCAGCUCAAAAGGGUGGUAUGCUCCAUCUAAAGCUAAAUAUCUGCGAGAGACCGAUAGCGAACAAGUACUGUGAAGGAAAGAUGAAAAGAACUUUGAAAAGAGAGUGAAAAAGUACGUGAAAUUGUUGAAAUGGAAGGGUAGGCCGCUAACCACGCAGAGUCGUGUCUGGGGGGAGGAU